UUAGGGCAAGUCUGGUGCCAGCAGCCGCGGUAAUUCCAGCUCCAAUAGCGUAUAUUAAAGUUGUUGCAGUUAAAAAGCUCGUAGUUGAAUUUCGGGAUCAGUAGGUUGGUCGUGCCACUGGUACGUACUGGUCUCACUGAUUCCUCCUUCCUGAUGAGCUGUAAUGCCAUUAAUUUGGUGUUGCAGGGAAUCUGGACUGUUACUUUGAAAAAAUUAGAGUGUUUAAAGCAGGCUAACGCUUGAAUACAUUAGCAUGGAAUAAUGAAAUAGGACGUUCGAUCCUAUUUUGUUGGUUUCUAGGAUUGAUGUAAUGAUUAAUAGGGAUAGUUGGGGGCAUUAGUAUUCAAUUGUCAGAGGUGAAAUUCUUGGAUUUAUUGAAGACUAACUACUGCGAAAGCAUUUGCCAAGGAUGUUUUUAUUAAUCAAGAACGAAAGUUAGGGGAUCGAAGACGAUCAGAUACCGUCGUAGUCUUAACCAUAAAUUAUGCCGGCUAGGGAUCGGAUGAUGUUAAUUUUUUAAUGACUCAUUCGGCGCCUUACGGGAAAC
Molecule: ribosomal RNA, 547 nt
Filed under: uncultured Glomus
Lineage: Eukaryota; Fungi; Glomeromycota; Glomeromycetes; Glomerales; Glomeraceae
Description: SSU rRNA
Rfam family: Eukaryotic small subunit ribosomal RNA
Source: RNAcentral